RNAcentral lists this ribosomal RNA (1834 nucleotides) under Caloramator sp. CAR-1. Its description in RNAcentral is "partial 23S ribosomal RNA". It matches the Rfam family "Bacterial large subunit ribosomal RNA", at positions 201 to 2078 of the family's 2925-position model. Lineage: Bacteria; Bacillati; Bacillota; Clostridia; Eubacteriales; Clostridiaceae. The record is from RNAcentral.
UCUAAGUACCCGGAGGAAAAGAAAGAAUAAUCGAUUCCCUAAGUAGCGGCGAGCGAAAGGGGAGGAGCCCAAACCAGGCGAAAGUCUGGGGUUGAGGACAGGUCAUAGAGUAUACUGGAACCUAGUCGAAGAUGACUGGAAAGUCACGCCAUAGAAGGUAAGAGCCCUGUAGGCGAAAGGGGAAGGUAGAAGGACCUGAUCCAGAGUACCACGGGACACGAGGAAUCCUGUGGGAAGCAGGGUGGACCACCACCCAAGGCUAAAUACUACCUGGUGACCGAUAGCGUAUAGUACCGUGAGGGAAAGGUGAAAAGAACCCCGGGAGGGGAGUGAAAUAGAACCUGAAACCUUGUGCCUACAAGCAGUCGGAGCUCGUUAAGGAGUGACGGCGUGCUUUUUGUAGAACGAGCCAGCGAGUUACGGUAUGUAGCGAGGUUAAGCACCUUAGGUGUGGAGCCGAAGGGAAACCGAGUCUGAAAAGGGCGGUAAGUUACAUGCCGUAGACCCGAAACCGGGUGAUCUAUCCAUGGACAGGGUGAAGAUAGGGUAAAACCUAUCGGAGGCCCGAACCACGUUGGUGUUGAAAAACCAUGGGAUGAGCUGUGGAUAGCGGAGAAAUUCCAAUCGAACUCGGAGAUAGCUGGUUCUCCCCGAAAUAGCUUUAGGGCUAGCCUCAGGGAGUAAGUUUAGGAGGUAGAGCACUGAAUGGGCUAGGGGCCGUAUAGGUUACCGAACCCUAUCAAACUCCGAAUGCCUAAACUGAGACCCUGGGAGUCAGACUACGAGUGAUAAGAUCCGUGGUCGAGAGGGAAACAGCCCAGACCACCAGCUAAGGUCCCGAAGUGCAUGUUAAGUGGUAAAGGAUGUGGGAUCUCAAAGACAACCAGGAUGUUGGCUUAGAAGCAGCCAUACAUUUAAAGAGUGCGUAAUAGCUCACUGGUCGAGAGGUCCUGCGCCGAAGAUGUCCGGGGCUAAAACAUGCCACCGAAGCUGUGGGCUCUUAGGAGCGGUAGGGGAGCUUCGUAUACGGGUAGAAGCCAUACCGUAAGGAGUGGUGGACUGUAUACGAGUGAGAAUGCUGGCAUAAGUAGCGAGAAGUAGGUGAGAAUCCUACUCGCCGAAAGCCUAAGGUUUCCUGGGGAAGGUUCGUCCGCCCAGGGUUAGUCGGGACCUAAGCCGAGGCCGAAAGGCGUAGGUGAUGGACAAUCGGUUGAUAUUCCGAUACCACCUGUAGCCGUUUGAGAGAAGGGGUGACGCAGGAGGAUAGGCUGAGCGCACGGAUGGAGAUGUGCGUCCAAGGCGCAAGGCAUGCUCUAUAGGCAAAUCCGUAGAGCUAAGCUGAGCGCUUAAGGGGAGCCGCAAGGCGAAGCAGCUGAUUUCACACUGCCGAGAAAAGCCUCUAUCGAGGAAGCAGGUGCCCGUACCGCAAACCGACACAGGUAGGCGAGGAGAGAAUCCUAAGGCGAGCGAGAGAACCCUCGUUAAGGAACUCGGCAAAUUGACCCCGUAACUUCGGGAGAAGGGGUGCCUGCGAGAGCAGGCCGCAGAGAAUAGGCCCAGGCGACUGUUUAGCAAAAACACAGGUCUCUGCUAAGUCGAAAGACGAAGUAUAGGGGCUGACGCCUGCCCGGUGCUGGAAGGUUAAGGGGAAGGGUGAGAGCUCUGAACCGAAGCCCCAGUAAACGGCGGCCGUAACUAUAACGGUCCUAAGGUAGCGAAAUUCCUUGUCGGGUAAGUUCCGACCCGCACGAAUGGCGUAACGACCUGGGCGCUGUCUCAACGAGGGGCUCGGCGAAAUUGUAGUGCAAGUGAAGAUGCUUGCUACCCGCGAUUG